Vicia villosa (hairy vetch) is the source of this 2267-nucleotide long non-coding RNA. RefSeq lists it as uncharacterized. Lineage: Eukaryota; Viridiplantae; Streptophyta; Magnoliopsida; Fabales; Fabaceae. The record is from RefSeq and is a predicted model, not a curated record. The transcript is spliced from 2 exons.
UAGGUUUUUUAUUAUUUUGAUGGGUUAAAUUGCUCCUUUCCAUUUUUAUUUUAACCUAAAUCAUUAGUAUAAAUAUGGUCCCAAUUCUACACUUUAGGGGGACUAACGACGAAUCCUAAUUUUCAUCAUCCUUCUCACGAAAUCCUAUUCUCUGUUUCUUACACUAACAACUCCACAAAUUUUUUUCUUUUCAGCACAAAAGCCUGAUGAACAUGAGAGAAGAAGAAGAUCAAAGAAAGAAGAUGAAAUCACCGAGCACCUCACAACAUCAAAUCGCAAUACCUUCAACCGAUGAAGCUCCGCUCCAUCUCCGGCAACAGCCGUACGAACCGCGAGCCACCGCCCCCAUCUCUUCCGCCGUUUUCGAAUCUGGUACGAUCUUUCCAUUUUCCAUUUUAUUUUAAUUGUUAUUUUGAAAGCUUUGUGUAUGGUUGUGAUUUUGGAAGCUUUCAUGGUGGUUCAAUUUUAGAUAUUUAUGAUGAAGAAGAAGUAGAGAUAGAAUGUGUGGUUCUGUUGCUUAUUAGUAUCACAUGUUAGUUUCUAUGUUUUGUAUUAUUAUUUUUAUUAAUUAACAAUGCUUUUGUUUUUUUAAUUAAAAAUGAGAGAAUCAUGAUUAGAUAUAUAAAAGGGGCCACCCCCUAUACUGCUACGAUCCAGACUAGGUGUUUUCUUUGUUUUAUUUUAAUUUUUAAUUUUUCUUACUUCUAAUUUUGUAUGUUAUGUUUAAGUUAUGAAUUAGUAAUUUAUUUGUUUAGUUUUAUCAAGUACCGAAAAUACAACAAUGUAUAUAUCUCAUCCCAUUAAAUCCCUAUUGAAUUAGUUAUCAUGUUAGUGUAAUUAGUUUAGGUUUUAAACUAUUUAAAAAAUGAUUGAAAAUAAAAAUGAUUUAUCUUAGUUUGAUUAAAUACUUGGAUUAAUUCAGCUAUUAAAAUAAUUCAAUUUAGGUUUCUAAUUAUUAAAAAAAAAUGCAGCACACCAUAGACCUUCAAAAGUCAUCACACUCAAUUACACCCCCAGGUUUUAGGUUUUGUAAUUAAACAUUGAAUUUCUUCAUCGCGAUUCUCUUCUCUUCUUUGUGCAAUUUUCAGGUUCACCCUGAGGCUUCCCGCCAACCAUAUCAGAUCAAACGCAAAGCUAAGUAUCUAGUUUUCUUUAUUUAUUUAUUUAGCCUUACAAUAUUUAUCCUUUUAUUUUAGGGUUAGUUCUGUUGCCUUUAGGGUUAGUUCUGUUGCCUUCGAACCGAUAAUGCACUCACCCUACUUUUUGUUUGCCAUUUUUCCCGCCUUGCAGGGUUUGCCAAAUGCCAAAGCGUCAAGUAUUGGUAACCCUAAACUCAAAUUAUUACUUAUGUUAGACCUAUUUGUUUGUUAUACCCCGCUGGUUUCAAUUCCCCUUUCCUCCGCUGGUUUCAUUGUCCCCUUUCCCCAUAUGGUUAUUGUUUUUGCCUUAUAUUAUCUGCGUGGUUAGUAAUUUAGGGAGUGCAAUUUUAAAUUGAAUUAGCCUCACUAAUUAUAAGAUAAUUUAAUCGAAUUAAUCACGUGAUUGAUGCACCCACGCACACCUUUGGGGUAACCUCUCUGUUGCCUUGUUGCCUGUUGCCUGUUGCCUUGUGUUAUUUUGCAGAAUAGCCAGUCCCUCGAAUACGAGGAUACCUUAGCCAGUUGCCUCGAUUUAGAUCAUGGUCCCUAAUGAUGCUGCCUUCGAUAUGCAUGAUCUCGACCCUCGGAAGUUGCCUACGAAAAGGCUAAGGUAUCCUCUGGCUGCCUACGAAAGGCUAUUCUGGUCCUUCCCCUUAGACUAUCUGCCUUUCUAUGGCAUGGGUCAGUCUUAUGGCGAAGGAUAUUUCGAUGACCCUUCAAACCUCCAAAUGAAAGGCUUCCUGCCCUCUUAUGGCAAGGAUAGACCCUUUCACCCUGAAAGGCUAAAAGAACAGAUUCUCAAAAUUAUAAGGUAAAUUGCCCUUAAUUGCUUUGCCUUGCUCUAAAAACAUUUUUAAUAUUCUUUCUCAUAAUUCUUCAAUAUGGCUACGCUCAUUUACGAGCUAAAGUCCGUAUUCACUUCUUCUACAUUUCUGAAACAAAAAGAGCAAAGCAAAUUAAGAGCCCAUGGAAAACCAUGGAUGCAAAGGGUGCUUUUUAAACCUUCCCUUUGCAUAAUUUACCCCCGAACUCAAAAUCUUUUUAAAAGGUAUUUUCCUGUUCUUUUAGCCUUUCCGAUAUUUGGAUAAAAUAAAAGUCGGUGGCGACUCUUGCUAUCCGCGACAUUUC